UACGGGGGGGGCAAGCGUUGUUCGGAAUUACUGGGCGUAAAGAGCGCGCAGGCGGUCGUUCAAGUCGCGUGUGAAAGCCCCCGGCUCAACUGGGGAGGGUCACGCGAUACUGAUCGACUCGAAGGCAGGAGAGGGUAGUGGAAUUCCCGGUGUAGUGGUGAAAUGCGUAGAUAUCGGGAGGAACACCAGUGGCGAAGGCGACUACCUGGCCUGUUCUUGACGCUGAGGCGCGAAAGCUAGGGGAGCAAACGGG
RNAcentral lists this ribosomal RNA (253 nucleotides) under uncultured bacterium. RNAcentral's name for it is "partial 16S ribosomal RNA". It matches the Rfam family "Bacterial small subunit ribosomal RNA", at positions 524 to 776 of the family's 1533-position model. The record is from RNAcentral.